CAGGCCGUGCUGCCGGCGCGGCGUGUGACGCAACGGCUAUCGCGGCACAUGAGUGGCUGUCAGCCCGAGACUCCAACUCCCGGCAGGCCCUGCUGCUGGCGCGGCGUGUGACGCAACGGGCGACGCGGCCCGGCAUUUUUCUCUAAAUCGGCAGUAAAUACAGCUGAGUAAAAUUAGCUUGGUUUUCUUCCUUCUUUUGUAACUGAACUGUUUUUAUUAAAAAUCCUAUUUGAAUAUGUAGAAAAAGUGGGGAUGUCCUGUAAUAUAUCGUAGCUUUUCUUGUUUACAGGGUACUGAGAAAAUACGUCUCCCUUAGAGUCCCGCGGAAAGGUUCUCAGUGCGCUCUCUAUCAAGGAAGUGUUGGAAGUUAGUGUUUUGGGAAAGAAACGGCAGUUCCACAGAACAUUCCAUUUCACAGAGGCUCUGGGAACGAUUCAUGUUUGCUAUGAGUCUUGAUAAAUUGGAGAAGAGCCCAAGAGAAAUUUUUCAUCCCUUGAUAUAAAAGGAUUUAUUGGUUCUGGAAGAACAAGAGGGAAGUACAAGCCUAACUACUUCUAGCUCACAGGCCCGUCCGGUGAACCCAGGGAUCGGUGAAUUUUAACUUUGGAGUCCCCUAUGCUAAGGAUGCUCAGCUUACAGGUGAUGAAAUGUUCAGUAAUGUAUUUGCUGCAGCUCUGCUUACCCAAGCUUUGGGUUCCUUCUGUCCCACUGGGAGUUGCCCAGUUUGGUUGCAUCUGGUGAAAUUCACCCUGAGACCUUACAGAACUAGCUCCAACUACGUGAGAGCCAUUUGCAGUUCUCUCCAGACACCUGGAGAAUGGGUGACGUUUCUGAGGAUCCGGCGAGCGUGCUUCUGUCAAAACUCAGUCUGUGAAAUUCCUGGGGAAAACCCUUCUGUGUCCUGAAGGGUUCAAACUCUGGUGAGGAUCCAGUUAUCAGGGGCUCACCUGGAUGGUUCCAGCUCCCAAAGGGAAAGACUCUCGUAUCCUUGUCGUCGGGCUCGGUGCUGUCCAAGAAGAUACGGGGACUAAAAAAAUCAUAAGAAGCAAAAUAUGACUGCAGGGAAAAGAAGCUGGAGAGAACAGAAGGUGAUGUUGUUAUCCUUACCCUGUAUUAGAAACAUCCGCUGUGCUUUGAUGCUGGCAGCUGCCAGGGGCUUGUUAGCUCUUUGUAGGCAGGUGUAGGUGUUCACUUGUAGGUUUUAUCUCUGGACAAGUCAAUUCAAACUUUGCUAAGCUUAUAUUUGCAGAUUGCUCUCUAGCACAGUCCAGCAUGACAUUUUUGAAUGUUGUAAAAAUACCAUGUUACUUGGAAAUUGCUAAUGAAGAGAAGCUUUAGGGGAAAAUAAGAUUUCAGGGUUGGAAGAUGUGAGAAGAAUUUUGUGGGGACGUUAGACUGAAGUAAAGCACACUUGAAGCUGGACUGGCACGCUGGCAGGUCCCCUAUUAAACAGUAGUGCUGAGAUUAGCCUGGGGGUUGCCCAUUGUUUCUGUAGAAAUCAAUGUUUCCUGGUCUUGAGAGGGAAGCUGCUUUGAAAAGCUGGAAGGUGCAGCAUGCUGACAAUCCCCGUGCUUUGGAUUAAAAGUAGAUUUCAGAAGGGUCCUAAGCUUUUGUCUUUUCCUAGAAGUCGAUGUAAUCCUAUCGAGGAGUGUUUAGUUCUGUGUUGCCAUGUCAUCCAUCAGAGCCCUGUUGUACUAAUCUUCAUACAAGUACAAAACAAAAAAUCAGACCCUGUCCCAAGCACUUAGAGACCAGAACACGAUUUCCUCGGGCUGCCAUUUGCGUGCCAUCGGUACUCACCACGAAUUGAGCCCUCUGGCUCUGACAGAGCCCCUGGAUGCUGACGGAAGGGGGCUGGUCACAGACCCUGGAGGUGCCUGUCCCCCAGGGAGGGAGAGGACGAGGCAGUGUGGCCUGCAGGGAGGGUGUCGUCCCCAGAGAGCAGCCGGCGACUCCAUGCCUGCCCGGGGCUGCGGGUGCCCCCUCGGGGUGGACGCCUGCCCUCAGGUUUCCCUCUGGGCACCCGGGGAGGGAACCAGGUCCAUCCGUGUGGCAGCUGCAGGGCCUGCAGGCUCUGGGCCCUGGAGCCGAGUGAGCCUGAGCUGCUGCAUGCUUGCUGUGAGCGUUGGGGUGAGCGUGCAUCACUGCAGGCCUGGGAUGGAUUGAAAUGCGCUGA
Molecule: long non-coding RNA, 2176 nt
Organism: Melospiza melodia melodia
Lineage: Eukaryota; Metazoa; Chordata; Aves; Passeriformes; Passerellidae
Exons: 7
Source: RefSeq, a predicted model, not a curated record